GGUUAAGCGACUAAGCGUACACGGUGGAUGCCCUGGCAGUCAGAGGCGAUGAAGGACGUGCUAAUCUGCGAAAAGCGUCGGUAAGGUGAUAUGAACCGUUACAGCCGGCGAUGUCCGAAUGGGGAAACCCAGUGCAAUUCGUUGCACUAUCGUUAACUGAAUACAUAGGUUAACGAGGCGAACCGGGGGAACUGAAACAUCUAAGUACCCCGAGGAAAAGAAAUCAACCGAGAUUCCCCCAGUAGCGGCGAGCGAACGGGGAGCAGCCCAGAGUCUGAAUCAGCUUGUGUGUUAGUGGAACGGUCUGGAAAGUCCGACGGUACAGGGUGAUAGUCCCGUACACCAAAAUGCACAGGCUGUGAACUCGAAGAGUAGGGCGGGACACGUGGUAUCCUGUCUGAAUAUGGGGGGACCAUCCUCCAAGGCUAAAUACUCCUGACUGACCGAUAGUGAACCAGUACCGUGAGGGAAAGGCGAAAAGAACCCCGGCGAGGGGAGUGAAAAAGAACCUGAAACCGUGUACGUACAAGCAGUGGGAGCACCUUCGGGUGUGACUGCGUACCUUUUGUAUAAUGGGUCAGCGACUUAUAUUCUGUAGCAAGGUUAACCGUAUAGGGGAGCCGCAGGGAAACCGAGUCUUAACUGGGCGUUAAGUUGCAGGGUAUAGACCCGAAACCCGGUGAUCUAGCCAUGGGCAGGUUGAAGGUUGGGUAACACUAACUGGAGGACCGAACCGACUAAUGUUGAAAAAUUAGCGGAUGACUUGUGGCUGGGGGUGAAAGGCCAAUCAAACCGGGAGAUAGCUGGUUCUCCCCGAAAGCUAUUUAGGUAGCGCCUCGUGAAUUCAUCUUCGGGGGUAGAGCACUGUUUCGGCUAGGGGGUCAUCCCGACUUACCAACCCGAUGCAAACUACGAAUACCGAAGAAUGUUAUCACGGGAGACACACGGCGGGUGCUAACGUCCGUCGUGAAGAGGGAAACAACCCAGACCGCCAGCUAAGGUCCCAAAGUCAUGGUUAAGUGGGAAACGAUGUGGGAAGGCACAGACAGCCAGGAUGUUGGCUUAGAAGCAGCCAUCAUUUAAAGAAAGCGUAAUAGCUCACUGGUCGAGUCGGCCUGCGCGGAAGAUGUAACGGGGCUAAACCAUGCACCGAAGCUGCGGCAGCGACACUAUGUGUUGUUGGGUAGGGGAGCGUUCUGUAAGCCUGCGAAGGUGUGCUGUGAGGCAUGCUGGAGGUAUCAGAAGUGCGAAUGCUGACAUAAGUAACGAUAAAGCGGGUGAAAAGCCCGCUCGCCGGAAGACCAAGGGUUCCUGUCCAACGUUAAUCGGGGCAGGGUGAGUCGACCCCUAAGGCGAGGCCGAAAGGCGUAGUCGAUGGGAAACAGGUUAAUAUUCCUGUACUUGGUGUUACUGCGAAGGGGGGACGGAGAAGGCUAUGUUAGCCGGGCGACGGUUGUCCCGGUUUAAGCAUGUAGGCUGGUUGUCCAGGCAAAUCCGGAUAAUCAAGGCUGAGGUGUGAUGACGAGGCACUACGGUGCUGAAGUAACAAAUGCCCUGCUUCCAGGAAAAGCCUCUAAGCAUCAGGUAACAUUAAAUCGUACCCCAAACCGACACAGGUGGUCAGGUAGAGAAUACCAAGGCGCUUGAGAGAACUCGGGUGAAGGAACUAGGCAAAAUGGUGCCGUAACUUCGGGAGAAGGCACGCUGGUGUGUAGGUGAAGUCCCUGCGGAUGGAGCUGAGACCAGUCGAAGAUACCAGCUGGCUGCAACUGUUUAUUAAAAACACAGCACUGUGCAAACACGAAAGUGGACGUAUACGGUGUGACGCCUGCCCGGUGCCGGAAGGUUAAUUGAUGGGGUUAUCCGUAAGGAGAAGCUCUUGAUCGAAGCCCCGGUAAACGGCGGCCGUAACUAUAACGGUCCUAAGGUAGCGAAAUUCCUUGUCGGGUAAGUUCCGACCUGCACGAAUGGCGUAAUGAUGGCCAGGCUGUCUCCACCCGAGACUCAGUGAAAUUGAACUCGCUGUGAAGAUGCAGUGUACCCGCGGCAAGACGGAAAGACCCCGUGAACCUUUACUAUAGCUUGACACUGAACAUUGAGCCUUGAUGUGUAGGAUAGGUGGGAGGCUUUGAAGCGUGGACGCCAGUCUGCGUGGAGCCAACCUUGAAAUACCACCCUUUAAUGUUUGAUGUUCUAACGUUGGCCCCUUAUCGGGGUUGCGGACAGUGUCUGGUGGGUAGUUUGACUGGGGCGGUCUCCUCCCAAAGCGUAACGGAGGAGCACGAAGGUUAGCUAAUCCUGGUCGGACAUCAGGAGGUUAGUGCAAUGGCAUAAGCUAGCUUGACUGCGAGCGUGACGGCGCGAGCAGGUGCGAAAGCAGGUCAUAGUGAUCCGGUGGUUCUGAAUGGAAGGGCCAUCGCUCAACGGAUAAAAGGUACUCCGGGGAUAACAGGCUGAUACCGCCCAAGAGUUCAUAUCGACGGCGGUGUUUGGCACCUCGAUGUCGGCUCAUCACAUCCUGGGGCUGAAGUAGGUCCCAAGGGUAUGGCUGUUCGCCAUUUAAAGUGGUACGCGAGCUGGGUUUAGAACGUCGUGAGACAGUUCGGUCCCUAUCUGCCGUGGGCGCUGGAGAAUUGAGGGGGGCUGCUCCUAGUACGAGAGGACCGGAGUGGACGCAUCACUGGUGUUCGGGUUGUCAUGCCAAUGGCACUGCCCGGUAGCUAAAUGCGGAAGAGAUAAGUGCUGAAAGCAUCUAAGCACGAAACUUGCCCCGAGAUGAGUUCUCCCUGAGACUUUAAGUCUCCUGAAGGAACGUUGAAGACGACGACGUUGAUAGGCCGGGUGUGUAAGCGCAGCGAUGCGUUGAGCUAACCGGUACUAAUGAACCGUGAGGCUUAACCUU
RNAcentral lists this ribosomal RNA (2902 nucleotides) under Klebsiella pneumoniae. Its description in RNAcentral is "23S ribosomal RNA". It matches the Rfam family "Bacterial large subunit ribosomal RNA". The record is from RNAcentral. RNAcentral also lists the same sequence under 1 other name. Lineage: Bacteria; Pseudomonadati; Pseudomonadota; Gammaproteobacteria; Enterobacterales; Enterobacteriaceae.